GGCAGGUUGAAGGUUGGGUAACACUAACUGGAGGACCGAACCGACUAAUGUUGAAAAAUUAGCGGAUGACCUGUGGCUGGGGGUGAAAGGCCAAUCAAACCGGGAGAUAGCUGGUUCUCCCCGAAAGCUAUUUAGGUAGCGCCUCGUGAAUUCAUCUCCGGGGGUAGAGCACUGUUUCGGCUAGGGGGCCAUCCCGGCUUACCAACCCGAUGCAAACUGCGAAUACCGGAGAAUGUUAUCACGGGAGACACACGGCGGGUGCUAACGUCCGUCGUGAAGAGGGAAACAACCCAGACCGCCAGCUAAGGUCCCAAAGUCAUGGUUAAGUGGGAAACGAUGU
Molecule: ribosomal RNA, 340 nt
Filed under: Salmonella enterica subsp. enterica serovar Typhimurium
Lineage: Bacteria; Pseudomonadati; Pseudomonadota; Gammaproteobacteria; Enterobacterales; Enterobacteriaceae
Description: partial 23S ribosomal RNA
Rfam family: Bacterial large subunit ribosomal RNA
Source: RNAcentral